CGUGGGUAACCUGCCUUAUAGUGGGGGAUAGCCUUUCGAAAGGAAGAUUAAUACCGCAUAAGAUUGUAGUAUCGCAUGAUAUAGCAAUCAAAGGAGCAAUUCGCUAUAAGAUGGACCCGCGUCGCAUUAGCUAGUUGGUGAGGUAAUGGCUCACCAAGGCGACGAUGCGUAGCCGACCUGAGAGGGUGAUCGGCCACAUUGGGACUGAGACACGGCCCAGACUCCUACGGGAGGCAGCAUG
This 241-nucleotide ribosomal RNA is filed under the name uncultured bacterium. RNAcentral's name for it is "partial 16S ribosomal RNA". It matches the Rfam family "Bacterial small subunit ribosomal RNA", at positions 116 to 353 of the family's 1533-position model. The record is from RNAcentral.